UGCUGGCAGCCAAGGGGGAAGGAGCUCUGCCUGAACAAGCAAAGGGGCUAGGCCUGACUGCAUGAGCAGCUCCUGAUAUUGCUUCGUGCAGCUGUGUACAGGCACCAGAGAUAACUAGCCAAUUGCCCACUUUCUCUGGAAGAAUGAGAAGGCUUCUACUGUUGCCCUGUCCUGCUUGAGCUUCAUCCAGAUCACCCACUUACCUCAGGGGUUUGGUUUCCAAACCCUGACAAACCUAGCUCAAAGCCUGCCACAAGAGGAAACAGAGAGCCAUGCUACCCAGGGCACUGAAUCGCAGCGAACUGAUGUGGGGUUAUGGGCUAAGGCUGACUGAGCCCAGCAUCCAACAUGCUCUGCCAAUCUGCUUCAGUUCUGAUUGGCAACAAGCUGUGUGAUAAUUUCUUAGAAUCAGCCAGAAGUGGCUAUGAAACCAAGCUCAUCUUACUAACUCAUAUAAACAAUAAUUUAAAUUCGAACUACAAAAGUGAAGGUGAAACUGGAUCACUAGGGUCUAUUACUGGCCUUUCCUGCUUUGAAAACCUUGGGAGUGGGGGAGGGAACAUGCUUUUUAAAGUGGCCUUAAGCACCUUAAGUUCCUAACAGCAGUAUUUGCUGAGCAAAUCACUUUAGGUCUCACUGACCUUGGCUAGUAGGACUUCCUGGGUCACAUUUUCACAUGGAUAAGCUAUUUCUCGAGCAGUUUCUUCAAUUUACUGGACAUAAAUAGGCUUUCCUUUAACAGCAGACAGGUACUGUACAUGUUUUUUGUGCCACUAGUUAUUCCUCAACCAGUAUAUUUGGAAGAAAAUGUCACCUUCCAUUAAUUUUAUAGUUGCUAUGUAUUUCUUUUACAGUAUCUCAAGGUUGCAUUGAAACACAGGAUUUUGUUUCCUUUCAAUAUAGUGAUAAAAAAGCAA
This is a long non-coding RNA of Alligator sinensis (Chinese alligator), 917 nucleotides long. RefSeq lists it as uncharacterized. The transcript is spliced from 3 exons. Lineage: Eukaryota; Metazoa; Chordata; Crocodylia; Alligatoridae. The record is from RefSeq and is a predicted model, not a curated record.